RNAcentral lists this ribosomal RNA (259 nucleotides) under uncultured bacterium. Its description in RNAcentral is "partial 16S ribosomal RNA". It matches the Rfam family "Bacterial small subunit ribosomal RNA", at positions 524 to 776 of the family's 1533-position model. The record is from RNAcentral.
UACGUAGGGGGCAAGCGUUGUCCGGAAUUACUGGGCGUAAAGGGUGCGCAGGCGGUUAUAUAAGACAGAUGUGAAAUCCCCGGGCUCAACCUGGGAACUGCGUUUGUGACUGUAUGACUAGAGUACGGUAGAGAGGGGUGGAAUUCCUGGUGUAGCAGUGAAAAUGCGGUAGAUAUCAGGAGGAACACCGGUGGCGAAAGGCGGGGUCUCUGGGCCCGAUACUGACGCUGAGGAGCGGAAAGCGUAGGGAGCAAACAGG